AAAAGCUCGGGACCCUACUCUGGACCAAUGUCUUGGUCCUAAUCCAGCCCUUGAAUUACGGGGACCCUGGAAACUAAACUCAGACUUUCAGUACAGCUUCCCUUAACAGGUGCUGAGAGACAUAGUGGGAAAGGGGCCUGGACUCAUUGGAGGGGGCACGGGACAGGUGAUUGUCAUUUUGAGCUGGCUGGUGUUGGCAGGAAGGAUGGAGCCAACGUGCAGGGGGCUGGGGGGAGCAGGCUUGGCCCCCACCCCUCAGAUCGAGCACGCAAUUGGCGCUUGUGGCGCGAGAGCCGCACAACAGAGCUCUCAGCCUCCCUCCAACAGGUCCCUGCAAGUCCAGGGAAUGUUCUACCCUCAUUGUUAGGGUGUUUUGCCAAUGACAUACCAAAGUCUUUGAAAAUCCCCCUUGUUGAUUGAAACUGUGGGCUGGAAGUCAACAAAUACUUUAAUUAGUCAGAGGGACUAAAAAAGGAUAUACAGCAAAAACCUCUGUGCUCUGUUUUCUCAUGAAGGGCGGUUUUAUUUUUCUUUUAAUAAACCCUCAUCUAGGAUUUACCCUGUGCCAGACACUGUCCGACAAACGCGGCAUCUAUGAAUCUAAAAGCGCAAAUGAGCAAUGAAGGGCUUUUCCCAUUUUCUCGGCAUGUGCUUUGGUCUUUACAUAUGGCUGUGGUUGUGCCUGGUCCUUUGAGAGUUUGCAGGAUUUCUCUACCAUGGAGAGGCGGGGAGGCGAGUUAUCUAUACCAGGCUUCCAUCCUAUGGGGUCAGAGUCAUGCAAGAAAGCCUUUUCACAUUCUUAAUCUACCCCACUUUUUUUUUUUUCUGCUCUGUUUUACCCCCAGCACAGUAAAGGCAUCCAGGGAUGACAAGACAGAGGUAGAGACAGAAGCUACCCUUUUCGAGUGGCUGCUUGAUGUCCUGCAGAGAUAAGGGCAAGGCACAGGGGACAGGGUCUUGUUUCCAUCUCCCAGAGGGUGAGCUCCCAUCACUGGGGCGUGAGUCAGUACAGACAGAGAUGCUACAAAGGGGAAGAAAACAAAGAGACGGCGUGCGGAGGCUGAAGAAGUUAUCUCUCCCAGGGCCGGUCUCAGGGAACACGCCCAGAGUUUUGGACAGUCCUGGACGCCAGCGGACGCCUCCCAGGCCAGCCACACCCUCUGCACGUGCCCACAGCUCCUCUGCAUCCCAUAGGCACCCAGGCUGCUGGCCUCACUCCCUGUCCGCUGGGACCACCAGGCACUGUCCUCAUGGAAACAGGAAAACUCAGUUCCCACAAGCCGUCCCAGAUGAGCCUUGGCCAGACUUGCCUCUGAGAAUCUUCUGACUCUGAUUCCACCCCCACUCUCCUUCUGCCUGGCCGCUGCCCUGCACUGCCUCGCCUGGACCCCAGCAACAGCCCACACAUGUGUCAUUAGAGGCUGCGAGUCUCAGCCCCCCUUGGAGACCCCCUUCCCCAGGCCAGUGUGCAAGGAGGCCGAUGUGUAUCCAGGGGGUGGCUGCUUAUGGUUGAUGUGCUUUGUUGUGGUUUGUUUUGUAUUGCUUUUCAGGGCCACACCCGAAGCAUAUGGAAGUUCCUGGGGUAGGGAUCGAAUCAGAGCUGCAGCUGCCAAGCUACACCACAACCAUGGCAAUGUGGGAUCCGAGCCACAUCUACAAACUACAACACAG
This 1671-nucleotide long non-coding RNA is filed under the name Sus scrofa (pig). Its description in RNAcentral is "lncRNA (ENSSSCG00025059857.1)". Lineage: Eukaryota; Metazoa; Chordata; Mammalia; Artiodactyla; Suidae. The record is from RNAcentral.